CAGUAGCCGCGGUAAUACGUAGGUGGCAAGCGUUGUCCGGAAUUAUUGGGCGUAAAGGGCUCGCAGGCGGUUUCUUAAGUCUGAUGUGAAAGCCCCCGGCUCAACCGGGGAGGGUCAUUGGAAACUGGGAAACUUGAGUGCAGAAGAGGAGAGUGGAAUUCCACGUGUAGCGGUGAAAUGCGUAGAGAUGUGGAGGAACACCAGUGGCGAAGGCGACUCUCUGGUCCGUAACUGACGCUGAGGAGCGAAAGCGUGGGGGGCGAACAGGAUUAGAUACCCCCGUAGUCCCUGUCUCUUAUAC
RNAcentral lists this ribosomal RNA (301 nucleotides) under uncultured bacterium. RNAcentral's name for it is "partial 16S ribosomal RNA". It matches the Rfam family "Bacterial small subunit ribosomal RNA", at positions 509 to 807 of the family's 1533-position model. The record is from RNAcentral.